UUGGCAUAUUUGGUUGACCAUGGGAAAGUGACAAAUUUCCAAGGUGAUUAUGUUUGGUUGGCCAUCCACUUUCUUAGGAAAGUUAUAUAUAAUUCCUAUUAUGCCCUUAAUAAAAAUUAGAUUUUUAAUGCCUCUUUAAUGCUUCUUUAAUGCUGAAGGGACUUUUUGGGAAAAAGUAAAAAUGGAGUGAUUCCCGCCUCAUGGGAAAGUAACUUUCCCAUGUUUCUCAUGGGAAAGACUUUCCCAUGAAAUGUGGGAAUCACAUUCCCAUGGGAAUACAACUUUUCCUUAUCUCUCCUUUGAAAACUCCAACCAAACAAGAGGCAUCUCAUUACUUUUCCGUUGACCACACUUUCCCCCCUUCUUUUCCCGCGAACCAAACGAGCCCUUA
RNAcentral lists this long non-coding RNA (391 nucleotides) under Phoenix dactylifera (date palm). RNAcentral describes it as "long non-coding RNA (PDAC_LNC000567)". The record is from RNAcentral. Lineage: Eukaryota; Viridiplantae; Streptophyta; Magnoliopsida; Arecales; Arecaceae.